ACGGCCCACCGUGCCGACAACGAGUAGCCGGGUUGAGAGACCGACCGGCCAGAUUGGGGCUGAGACACGGCCCAGACUCCUACGGGAGGCAGCAGUGGGGAAUCUUGCGCAAUGGGGGGAACCCUGACGCAGCGACGCCGCGUGCGGGACGGAGGCCUUCGGGUCGUAAACCGCUUUCAGCAGGGAAGAGUCAAGACUGUACCUGCAGAAGAAGCCCCGGCUAACUACGUGCCAGCAGCCGCGGUAAUACGUAGGGGGCGAGCGUUAUCCGGAUUCAUUGGGCGUAAAGCGCGCGUAGGCGGCCCGGCAGGCCGGGGGUCGAAGCGGGGGGCUCAACCCCCCGAAGCCCCCGGAACCUCCGCGGCUUGGGUCCGGUAGGGGAGGGUGGAACACCCGGUGUAGCGGUGGAAUGCGCAGAUAUCGGGUGGAACACCGGUGGCGAAGGCGGCCCUCUGGGCCGAGACCGACGCUGAGGCGCGAAAGCUGGGGGAGCGAACAGGAUUAGAUACCCUGGUAGUCCCAGCCGUAAACGAUGGACGCUAGGUGUGGGGGGACGAUCCCCCCGUGCCGCAGCCAACGCAUUAAGCGUCCCGCCUGGGGAGUACGGCCGCAAGGCUAAAACUCAAAGGAAUUGACGGGGGCCCGCACAAGCAGCGGAGCAUGUGGCUCAAUUCGAAGCAACGCGAAGAACCUUACCAGGGCUUGACAUAUGGGUGAAGCGGGGGAGACCCCGUGGCCGAGAGGAGCCCAUACAGGUGGUGCAUGGCUGUCGUCAGCUCGUGUCGUGAGAUGUUGGGUUAAGUCCCGCAACGAGCGCAACCCCCGCCGCGUGUUGCCAUCGGGUGAUGCCGGGAACCCACGCGGGACCGCCGCCGUCAAGGCGGAGGAGGGCGGGGACGACGUCAAGUCAUCAUGCCCCUUAUGCCCUGGGCUGCACACGUGCUACAAUGGCCGGUACAGAGGGAUGCCACCCCGCGAGGGGGAGCGGAUCCCGGAAAGCCGGCCCCAGUUCGGAUUGGGGGCUGCAACCCGCCCCCAUGAAGUCGGAGUUGCUAGUAAUCGCGGAUCAGCAUGCCGCGGUGAAUGCGUUCCCGGGCCUUGCACUCACCGCCCGUCAAG
This 1119-nucleotide ribosomal RNA is filed under the name uncultured bacterium. RNAcentral's name for it is "bacterial SSU rRNA". It matches the Rfam family "Bacterial small subunit ribosomal RNA", at positions 260 to 1401 of the family's 1533-position model. The record is from RNAcentral.